Molecule: ribosomal RNA, 429 nt
Filed under: Bacteroidota bacterium
Lineage: Bacteria; Pseudomonadati; Bacteroidota
Description: Bacteroidetes bacterium partial 16S ribosomal RNA
Rfam family: Bacterial small subunit ribosomal RNA
Source: RNAcentral
UAGGGAAUCUUCCGCAAUGGACGCAAGUCUGACGGAGCAACGCCGCGUGAGUGAAGAAGGCUUUCGGUUCGUAAAACUCUGUUGUUAGAGAAGAACAGCGCAUAGAGUAACUGUUAUGCGUGUGACGGUAUCUAACCAGAAAGCCACGGCUAACUACGUGCCAGCAGCCGCGGUAAUACGUAGGUGGCAAGCGUUGUCCGGAUUUAUUGGGCGUAAAGCGAGCGCAGGCGGUCAAUUAAGUCUGAUGGGAAAGCCCCCGGGUCAACCGGGGAGGGUCAUUGGAAACUGGUUGACUUGAGUGCAGAAGAGGAGAGUGGAAUUCCAUGUGUAGGGGUGAAAUGCGUAGGUAUAUGGAGGAACACCAGUGGCGAAGGCGACUCUCUGGUCUGUAACUGACGGUGAAGCUCGAAAGCGGGGGUAGCAAACAGG